CGCCUGACACCACGGCCUGACAGGAGCAAUGCCGCGUGACUGAUGAAGGUCUUCGGAUUGUAAAGGUCUGUUGUAAGGGAAGAAGUGCUAGAAUAGGAAAUGAUUUUAGUAUCGACCAUACCUUACCAGAAAGCCACGGCUAACUAUGUGCCAGCACNCGCGGUAAUACAA
This 171-nucleotide ribosomal RNA is filed under the name uncultured Spiroplasma sp. RNAcentral's name for it is "partial 16S ribosomal RNA". It matches the Rfam family "Bacterial small subunit ribosomal RNA", at positions 376 to 528 of the family's 1533-position model. Lineage: Bacteria; Bacillati; Mycoplasmatota; Mollicutes; Entomoplasmatales; Spiroplasmataceae. The record is from RNAcentral.